AGGAUUCAUAACCAUGUGAUCAAAUUAAAUUGAAUGACCACUAAGAUUCCUUCCCAUUCGAUUGUGAACUCCUUGAGGGACUGGUAAACAUGAUAAGCAUGGAAAUAAUGAGAGGCAGAUAUUCAUGGCUAGCUGUUGCCUGGAGUGGAAGAAUUUUAAGCAACACAAGAUGAGAGGACUGAAACAAUUAAUGCAAACAUACCUGAACUACUAUCUAGUCUUAUGGCUGUUGGAUGGUUUCCUGAUGCUACUGAUUACUUUGGGGAAGUGGAAUUUAUAUUACUUUACAAAUCACAGAAGAAUCACAGAAAGAGUUGAC
Vombatus ursinus (common wombat) is the source of this 319-nucleotide long non-coding RNA. Lineage: Eukaryota; Metazoa; Chordata; Mammalia; Diprotodontia; Vombatidae. The record is from Ensembl.